UGGGGAAUCUUGCGCAAUGGGCGAAAGCCUGACGCAGCGACGCCGCGUGAGUGAUGAAGGCCUUAGGGUUGUAAAGCUCUGUGGAGAGGGACGAAUAAGCCGCAGUGAAUAGUUGCGGUGAUGACGGUACCUCUUUAGCAAGCACCGGCUAACUCUGUGCCAGCAGCCGCGGUAAGACAGAGGGUGCAAACGUUGUUCGGAAUUACUGGGCGUAAAGCGCGUGUAGGCGGCCGAGUAAGUCGGGUGUGAAAGCCCAGGGCUCAACCUUGGAAGUGCACUCGAAACUGCACGGCUAGAGUCUCGGAGAGGGAAGCGGAAUUCUGGGUGUAGAGGUGAAAUUCGUAGAUAUCCAGAGGAACACCAGUGGCGAAGGCGGCUUCCUGGACGAGUACUGACGCUGAGACGCGAAAGCGUGGGGAGCAAACAGGAUUAGAUACCCCGGUAGUCC
This 448-nucleotide ribosomal RNA is filed under the name uncultured prokaryote. RNAcentral describes it as "bacterial SSU rRNA". It matches the Rfam family "Bacterial small subunit ribosomal RNA", at positions 355 to 796 of the family's 1533-position model. The record is from RNAcentral.